Molecule: ribosomal RNA, 490 nt
Filed under: uncultured bacterium
Lineage: Bacteria
Description: partial 16S ribosomal RNA
Rfam family: Bacterial small subunit ribosomal RNA
Source: RNAcentral
AUUGAACGCUGGCGGCAGGCCUAACACAUGCAAGUCGAACGGUAACAGGAAGAAGCUUGCUUCUUUGCUGACGAGUGGCGGACGGGUGAGUAAUGUCUGGGAAACUGCCUGAUGGAGAGGGAUAACUACUGGAAACGGUAGCUAAUACCGCAUAACGUCGCAAGACCAAAGAGGGGGACCUUCGGGCCUCUUGCCAUUGGAUGUGCCCAGAUGGGAUUAGCUAGUAGGUGGGGUAACGGCUCACCUAGGCGACGAUCCCUAGCUGGUCUGAGAGGAUGACCAGCCACACUGGAACUGAGACACGGUCCAGACUCCUACGGGAGGCAGCAGUGGGGAAUAUUGCACAAUGGGCGCAAGCCUGAUGCAGCCAUGCCGCGUGUAUGAAGAAGGCCUUCGGGUUGUAAAGUACUUUCAGCGGGGAGGAAGGGAGUAAAGUUAAUACCUUUGCUCAUUGACGUUACCCGCAGAAGAAGCACCGGCUAACUCCGUG